Molecule: ribosomal RNA, 775 nt
Filed under: uncultured Neocallimastigales
Lineage: Eukaryota; Fungi; Neocallimastigomycota; Neocallimastigomycetes; Neocallimastigales
Description: partial large subunit ribosomal RNA
Rfam family: Eukaryotic large subunit ribosomal RNA
Source: RNAcentral
GCGCAUCUGUGCAUGCAGCAUAUCAAUAAGCGGAGGAAAAGAAACUAACAAGGAUUCCCCUAGUAACGGCGAGUGAAGCGGGAAGAGCUCAAAUUUGAAAUCUUAAAGGGUUUCCCUUUACGAAUUGUAGUUUAAAGAAGUGUUUUCUGUUGAGGUUUUGGUAAAAGUUCUUUGGAAUAGGACAUCAUAGAGGGUGAGAAUCCCGUAUUUGACCUUUACUUUCAACUUUGUGAUACACUUUCAAAGAGUCGGAUUGUUUGGGAAUGCAGUCCAAAAUGGGUGGUAAAUUUCAUCUAAAGCUAAAUAUUGGCGAGAGACCGAUAGCGAACAAGUACCGUGAGGGAGAGAUGAAAAGAACUUUGAAAAGAGAGUUAAGCAGUACGUGAAAUUGUCAAAAGGGAAGCGUUUGACACCAGUGUUGUUUUUCUGAAAAUCAAUUAAAGAACUGUUUAUGCUAAGUUGUUUAGACUUUAUCAGCUAACUGUUUAGUUUUGAGCUUUUCUUUAAUGCACUUUUCAGUUAACAAGUCAACAUCAAUUUCUUUUGCUGUAAAAAAGCUUGAGGAAGGUGGCUUGAGAUUCGUCUUAAGUGUUUAUAGCCUCUUGCCUAUACAGUCGGAGAGAUUGAGGUCUGCAGCGUAGAUCCUUCGGGGCUAAAUGCAUUUGUGCUAAGUUAUAGCAUUUUAUAGACAACUUGUUGACUAUGAUUUGUCUUGUAGCUUACUCGCUUAUGUUAUUUUACCUACGCUUAGGAUGUUGAACGCGCACAGAGUCUC